UAGGGAAUCUUCGGCAAUGGGGGCAACCCUGACCGAGCAACGCCGCGUGAGUGAAGAAGGUUUUCGGAUCGUAAAGCUCUGUUGUAAGAGAAGAACGUGUGUGAGAGUGGAAAGUUCACACAGUGACGGUAACUUACCAGAAAGGGACGGCUAACUACGUGCCAGCAGCCGUGGUAAUACGUAGGUCCCGAGCGUUGUCCGGAUUUAUUGGGCGUAAAGCGAGCGCAGGCGGUUUAAUAAGUCUGAAGUUAAAGGCAGUGGCUUAACCAUUGUUCGCUUUGGAAACUGUUAAACUUGAGUGCAGAAGGGGGGAGUGGAAUUCCAUGUGUAGCGGUGAAAUGCGUAGAUAUAUGGAGGAACACCGGUGGCGAAAGCGGCUCUCUGGUCUGUAACUGACGCUGAGGCUCGAAAGCGUGGGGAGCAAACAGG
Molecule: ribosomal RNA, 429 nt
Filed under: bacterium
Lineage: Bacteria
Description: partial 16S ribosomal RNA
Rfam family: Bacterial small subunit ribosomal RNA
Source: RNAcentral